CGAGAUGAUAAUCAGAGAACUGCAU
This 25-nucleotide non-coding RNA is filed under the name Drosophila melanogaster (fruit fly). Lineage: Eukaryota; Metazoa; Arthropoda; Insecta; Diptera; Drosophilidae. The record is from RNAcentral.